RNAcentral lists this long non-coding RNA (287 nucleotides) under Felis catus (domestic cat). RNAcentral describes it as "lncRNA (ENSFCAG00000049277.1)". The record is from RNAcentral. Lineage: Eukaryota; Metazoa; Chordata; Mammalia; Carnivora; Felidae.
GCCAACCUUCAUCCAGGAUGUACUGUUAUGGUUCUCUCCUCUGCAACCCCCUAAAGAAAGACUGAGGUGCAGCUUCUGAGAGACAAGAUGGGGACAAGUUGGCUAUUGAAGCACUUCUGGAGGGUUCUCUGAGCCCAGAAGCCUACACAUGUUUGGCAAUCCCAGAUGCACAUUCUUCCUGUCACCAGUGGGGCUGUGAACUGGUUGUUCGGGCUGAAAGAAGAAAAGUUAAAACGCACUUUCAGGUUAAAAGAAAUGCUGUCUGAGUGACGGAAGAUGGAUUCACA